This is a long non-coding RNA of Triticum aestivum (bread wheat), 1493 nucleotides long. RefSeq lists it as uncharacterized. Lineage: Eukaryota; Viridiplantae; Streptophyta; Magnoliopsida; Poales; Poaceae. The transcript is spliced from 2 exons. The record is from RefSeq and is a predicted model, not a curated record.
CUGUAAGUCUUUCGUUCGCUUCAUCAUCCCUCAUCAAACAAAAAAGGAAACCUCCACCUCUCCUCGCAUAAUCUCCACCAAAUCAAUCGCUUAGUCAAUCAGCCAGAAAAAAAAUCAAUCGCUACGUCUUCGUGCUCCCUCGAUCUCCUUCCUGAUCCGCUAAGUCAUUCUCUCCAAUCCUCGAGUCCUUCUCACCUCAGCUCGCCUCCUCCUCCCCCUGAAGUAGGACUUCGCCGCCGAUCGCCUCCAUUCAUCACCGACGAACUUGAUGUAAGUCUAAUCAUGAAACCAGGACCACAACUUCUUGGAAGGGACAUGACCCAAUUCAAGCUCGUGAUCGUGUAUUUGACUAGUUCCUGAUCUAUGCUCUUUUUCACAGCGAUCUUCGUGUAAGUUCUUUUAAAUUGAUCUUUUCCCUUUGGAUCUUCCAAGGCUGAUAUGUUAUUUUGAUAUGUGAGGAACUAUGGUGUUCCACCGCACUUGAUUCGUGAGCUGUAUCAGAUAUAGCGGCGAGCUCGUUCUCCUGCUCCCAGGUCCACUCGGCACGCUUCUCCUCCACCUAUUGUUGCCGCCGUGCCCGGCGGUAGAGGAGAAUCCGACACCCACCCGCUGGCCUAGAACAACAUAUAUUGUGGGGCAGCCGGAUCUGAGUCUCACUGCGAGGGCUCGACCUUCUCAAUCUGUGGCUGUAGUAGGUGUAGAACUCCCUGGCGAAGGAGAGGACGUCACUAACUCAUUUUCAGUGGAUUGGAUUCAUGAAGGUCCAAGAAAGAAAUAAGUUUUAGUCCACCUUCACCCCCACCUCUCCAACUAAUAAGUUUUAGUAUGCACUGAAUUUCUAUGAGGCAGCCAGAAUCUCUCUCAUGUGUGAACUAUACACAAGAACUGCCUAUUACUUGCCUUUCAUUUAUCACCUGAUGUGUGUACCAAAAUGUAUACGAAAGCUACAUGACUCUCUAUAACAGGUCAGGUUGUGUAUUGAGUUUAACAGAAUCAUACACUCGCUCAAUCUAUGUUGUUUGCUGCAUGUGUUUACAUGAUAGAGUGAUCGCUGCUCUGCUUUUGUCUGUGGAUGUAGUUCGGAAACUCAUUCAGUGAGUUGAGGUUGAAGGUAGACAUGCUGUUGCUGAGUGUGGAUGGGAACGACAAGAUGCAUAUCUGCAUGCUACCUGCCAUUGGAGAGACUUCUUAUUUUCCUGAUAGGUUCACACUUGCCGAACUGAUGUAUUGAACUUUUGACAAUUUGGAUUGGUUGCCGAAAUAACCUAUUCUCCUUUUGUUGAUAUUUCUGAAAGAGACUAUUAUUUCCAUGUUUGUUUCGGGUUUUCAAGAUGACAAUUUCAUACUUUUGGACUGGAGCUACCAAAAUAUUUAUGAGGUUAAAUUACUAUAUACAAUAUUCUUUUUCUUUUUUAUGUAAGCGGAAUCUGCUACUCCCUUAAUCAAAAGUUUAAGAUCUGGGGUCAGCUUAUUGCAUGACCACUCUUUUUUUA